UGGGGAAUAUUGGACAAUGGACCGAGAGUCUGAUCCAGCAAUUCUGUGUGCACGAUGAAGUUUUUCGGAAUGUAAAGUGCUUUCAGUUGGGAAGAAAGAAAUGACGGUACCAACAGAAGAAGUGACGGCUAAAUACGUGCCAGCAGCCGCGGUAAUACGUAUGUCACGAGCGUUAUCCGGAUUUAUUGGGCGUAAAGCGCGUCUAGGUGGUUAUGUAAGUCUGAUGUGAAAAUGCAGGGCUCAACUCUGUAUUGCGUUGGAAACUGUAUAACUAGAGUACUGGAGAGGUAAGCGGACUACAAGUGUAGAGGUGAAAUUCGUAGAUAUUUGUAGGAAUGCCGGUGGGGAAGCCAGCUUACUGGACAGAUACUGACGCUAAAGCGCGAAAGCGUGGGUUGCAAACAGG
Molecule: ribosomal RNA, 406 nt
Filed under: bacterium
Lineage: Bacteria
Description: partial 16S ribosomal RNA
Rfam family: Bacterial small subunit ribosomal RNA
Source: RNAcentral